RNAcentral lists this microRNA precursor (122 nucleotides) under Nannospalax galili (Upper Galilee mountains blind mole rat). RNAcentral describes it as "miRNA (ENSNGAG00000005631.1)". The record is from RNAcentral. Lineage: Eukaryota; Metazoa; Chordata; Mammalia; Rodentia; Spalacidae.
UCUCCCUGUAGCCCCAGCUGUCCUGGAACUCACUAUUUAGACCAGGCUGGCCUUGAACUCACAGAGAUCCGCCUGCCUCUGCCUCCCAAGUGCUGGGACUACAGGCAUGUGCCACUAUGCCC